UCUAAAUUCUUACAUUUUUAGAUUUGAGCCCUAUUGUACCACUCUACUUGUUCAUGCUAUUAAACGGCUAUAUCUCUCAACAUCACUUUUUAUUUUAUUUUUGAAAACUUAACAUCGUAUUUGUUGUUAUGGCUUUUGAAUUGAUAUCUUAAGAGAAAUAUUGAUUUUGUUUUCUUUCUACCUACUGCAAAUAAGACUUUAUGAAACAAACAUCACGUAACACGUUAAUUCUAACGAUAAUUAAUUACAGUAGUACCCUCAAUGUAUUGAAUAUAUCCAAUUGUCAUUAUUAAAAAAAAUAUUUUUUUGUUUUUUAUUUUUUUUAUUUAGGUUCCUUUUUCUUCAUAUUUUUCAAAUAACCUUAUAAUUUAAAAAACAUUUAUAAAUUUAAAAAACAAACAAAACAAUUUAAAUAACAUAAACUAUGAUAUCGUCGCUUUAACCUGAGCUCAUAAACUUACGACACUUUAGGGUUUUUGAUCCCAUUGUUUCAUCUUCUUCCUCACAAUCCAAGAAUCCUCCAGUUACAGAUCCAUUUUAUUAAAGUCGUUCUUGGAUCCAUCAUCCACGAUGUAUCUUUAAUGCGAACUUUGCUCUUGGUAGGUGGUGGAACUUCAAGUAUAAAAAGAAGCAAGCAAAGCUUCAGAUUUGCGGACACCCCUGUUUCGCUCCUAUUCGAAGAGGUCUCUGAGAGCAGAAACUUCAUCCACAAGGAGCUGCUCCGUUUUCAAGGUUACGAGGAGUUAAUGUCAGUAGCUAAUACCAACUCCGAGUUACCUGGUUUGUUUAAUUCACCACGUUCCAACUCCAUCUUCUUAAUCCUUGAUAAUCAUUUCAUACACACCCAUAAUUCCAUAUGUUUUAUUCCAGAUAUUUUGGUAAGUUAUGGGUUUUACUUCCACUUUCAAGAAGAAACACAAAAGACUCCGCCAAUUAUGGCCAACCUCUGCAUCCAGAGCUCAUACCAAACUAUUCAUUUCAUGUAGGUGAUGACAAUCCCGGCCAUGAUAUGCCAGGAGCUGGAGCUGUAACAACAGACCCUUCUCAAAGUGUUGAAAGAGGUAUUCAUGACAACAGCAACAGACCCAGUAACCAUGUGAUGGUGGAAAGCCUCCCAGGAGAUGUUACCGAACCAAACGACACCCCUGUUUCAUCUGACAUGUCUUCUGCGGAGUCCCUCGAGGCAGAUGGUGUUCACUCUGCGAAGAAGCCACACCAUGGUUAAGCUUCAGAUUAUUGGAGUCCAAUUCAAAUUAGCUCAAUCUCACGACUGCUUUCUUAACCAGUUUUUUUAAUAUUUCAUAAACCGGAUAAGUAUCACUCAAGCUAUUUUCCUCAGUGUUUUAACUUUAAAUGUAUUUCCUCUUCUUUAUGAACUCUGCAGCUUCAACAAAGCUAUGUUUGCUUCCUUUUAAAAUUAUUUUAAACCUUAGAACUGGUUUGAUGCCCCGUCGUUAAGAGCAUUUUGUUAAC
Molecule: RNA transcript, 1473 nt
Organism: Brassica napus (rape)
Lineage: Eukaryota; Viridiplantae; Streptophyta; Magnoliopsida; Brassicales; Brassicaceae
Exons: 3
Source: RefSeq, a predicted model, not a curated record